CAAGAAGCUGACAAGUACUGUUAGAGGAGGCUGUACAUGUUGCUCUAAUGGACCUCAUUAAGUUCUACUUACAGAUGUUCUCUUAACAUAAUUGAUCUGCGAUGAAAACUUUAAGGAACAAUGAAGGAGAAGAGGUACUGCUCUGAAACGGACUGAAAUGUGGAGCUGCGGUGAGCUGUUUGCCAGAGAUUUGAAAGCUUCCGUGGAAAAAGCCCAAGGCCAUCAGACAAACAAAAAGUUUAGGAGAGAGUACAUCUUGAAUUUGAUAAC
Molecule: long non-coding RNA, 270 nt
Organism: Alligator sinensis (Chinese alligator)
Lineage: Eukaryota; Metazoa; Chordata; Crocodylia; Alligatoridae
Exons: 3
Source: RefSeq, a predicted model, not a curated record